UACGUAGGGUGCAAGCGUUAAUCGGAAUUACUGGGCGUAAAGGGCGCGCAGGCGGCUAUCCAAGUCAGGCGUGAAAGCCCCGGGCUUAACCUGGGAGGUGCGUCUGGGACUGGGUGGCUAGAGUUCGGGAGAGGAGAGUGGAAUUCCCAGUGUAGAGGUGAAAUUCGUAGAUAUUGGGAAGAACACCGGUGGCGAAGGCGGCUCUCUGGACCGAGACUGACGCUGAGGCGCGAAAGCGUGGGGAGCAAACAGG
This 253-nucleotide ribosomal RNA is filed under the name uncultured bacterium. Its description in RNAcentral is "partial 16S ribosomal RNA". It matches the Rfam family "Bacterial small subunit ribosomal RNA", at positions 524 to 776 of the family's 1533-position model. The record is from RNAcentral.